This 430-nucleotide ribosomal RNA is filed under the name Fusobacteriota bacterium. RNAcentral's name for it is "Fusobacteria bacterium partial 16S ribosomal RNA". It matches the Rfam family "Bacterial small subunit ribosomal RNA", at positions 355 to 776 of the family's 1533-position model. Lineage: Bacteria; Fusobacteriati; Fusobacteriota. The record is from RNAcentral.
UGGGGAAUAUUGGACAAUGGGCGCAAGCCUGAUCCAGCCAUGCCGCGUGUGUGAAGAAGGCCUUUUGGUUGUAAAGCACUUUAAGCGAUGAGGAGGCUACUUGGAUUAAUACUCUAGGAUAGUGGACGUUACUCGCAGAAUAAGCACCGGCUAACUCUGUGCCAGCAGCCGCGGUAAUACAGAGGGUGCGAGCGUUAAUCGGAUUUACUGGGCGUAAAGCGUGCGUAGGCGGCUUUUUAAGUCGGAUGUGAAAUCCCUGAGCUUAACUUAGGAAUUGCAUUCGAUACUGGGAAGCUAGAGUAUGGGAGAGGAUGGUAGAAUUCCAGGUGUAGCGGUGAAAUGCGUAGAGAUCUGGAGGAAUACCGAUGGCGAAGGCAGCCAUCUGGCCUAAUACUGACGCUGAGGUACGAAAGCAUGGGGAGCAAACAGG